GACGAACGCUGGCGGCGUGCUUAACACAUGCAAGUCGAGCGAUGAAACACCUUCGGGUGCGGAUUAGCGGCGAACGGGUGAGGAACACGUGAGGAAUCUGCCUUCCACUCUGGGAUAACUCCGGGAAACCGGGGCUAAUACCGGAUACUUUCAACUGGCGGCAUCGCCGGUUGAAGAAAGUUUUUCGGUGGAAGAUGACCUCGCGGCCUAUCAGCUUGUUGGUGAGGUAAAGGCUCACCAAGGCGACGACGGGUAGCCGGCCUGAGAGGGCGACCGGCCACACUGGGACUGAGACACGGCCCAGACUCCUACGGGAGGCAGCAGUGGGGAAUAUUGGGCAAUGGAGGAAACUCUGACCAGCGACGCCGCGUGAGGGAUGAAGGCCUUCGGGUUGUAAACCUCUUUCAGCAGGGGAUAAGCGAAAGUGAAGGUACCUGCAGAAGAAGCACCGGCUAACUAUGUGCCAGCAGCCGCAGUAA
RNAcentral lists this ribosomal RNA (479 nucleotides) under uncultured bacterium. Its description in RNAcentral is "partial 16S ribosomal RNA". It matches the Rfam family "Bacterial small subunit ribosomal RNA", at positions 28 to 523 of the family's 1533-position model. The record is from RNAcentral.